CUACCAUGGGGGAAGAAGGCGGCGGCCGCAGCUGUGGGAGCACUAGGGAGCUGCAGAAGCUGAAGCAGCAGGCGAUGGAGUAUUACCGCGAGAACGACGUUCCGCGCAGGCUGGAAGAACUGCUCAACUCCACCUUCUACCUCCAGCCUGCCGACGUCUACGGGCACCUGAACAUAUGUUCUGUGGUGAUCGCAACUCACUUUGAAGCCCACGAGAACGCUUCACCUGAGCUCGUUGAAGCCGAGGAAGUGGAAAGGUUGGAUGCUGUCAGCACCGCAGUGCAGUGGGUCAACGAAACUCUCACUGAGGAGCUCCAGGGCCUAGUGCCCUCCAGCCAGGCUGAGGUGGAUCAGGUGCUCAGGACAUUCUUUGAAAAUAAAGUACAAGAAGAUAAGGAGAGAAAAGAAUUGGAAAAGAACCUAGAAGACUCAACAGUGCUUUCACCCCAGCCGCCGCCGCCACCACCUCCUCCUCCACCUCCAUCCAAGAAAAAAGGACAAAAGCAAGGAAGGAUGGAGACUUCUGCAGAAAAACCAAUCAUACCUGCAGAACCCCCUGAGCCUGUCCUCUGUGGCAGCAUGGCCAUAGGGGCUGUGUCACUGGCUGUUGCCAAAGCCAGUGCUGUACUGGACAAUAAUCCUCUCUACCUGAACAUUGCAUUACUGAAGCACCACCAGGAACAGCCAGAAAAGCUAACUAUACCUCUUCUGAUGGUGUCGCUGGUCAGCUGUGGGAAGUCAUCACCUGGGAAGCUGAAUUUGAUGAAAGAAGUGAUCUGUAUACCCCAUCCUGGAUUAACAGCUAAACAAGGUGUAGAGAUGCUUCUGGAAAUUCAGAAACACAUCAACAAAGCAAUUGAAAUGUCCCCUCCUCCAAAGCCAGAGACAAAAAAAAGUCACGAUGGAGGCAAAAGAGGCCAACAGCAGAUCACCGGCAAGAUGUCCCAUCUUGGCUGUUUAACCAUUAAUUACGACACUAUAGAGCAGCCACUGCUCCUCAUACAAGGAAUCUGUGCAAACCUGGGGCUAGAAUUGGGAACGAACCUGCAUCUAGCCAUCAACUGUGCCGCACAUGAGCUGAUGGACUACAGUAAAGGAAAGUAUGAAGUGAUGAUGGGGACCUACAAAAAUGCAGCUGAGAUGGUUGACCUGUAUGUGGAUCUGAUCAACAAGUUCCCUUCAAUUAUUGCGUUAAUUGAUCCUUUCAGGAAGGAGGACUCUGAACAGUGGGACAGCAUCUAUAAUGCUCUUGGUUCCAGGUGUUACAUAAUUGCAGGCACCGCGUCCAAAAGCAUCUCUAAACUGCUAGAGGAGGGCAACAUCAGCAUCCUCAAAUACAGCGGGCUGAUCAUAAAACACAUAAACCAAACUACGAUGUCGGACUUGGUGGAAAUAACCAAUCUCAUUGACGGUAAGAAGCUCAUCGCUGUCUUUGGAAGCACAGAAGGAGAAUCGUCUGAUGACAGCCUUGUCGAUUUGGCUGUUGGACUUGGUGUCCGGUUUAUCAAGUUGGGAGGUCUUUCUCGUGGCGAACGGGUGACCAAGUACAACCGCCUCUUUACUAUAGAGGAAGAACUUGGCCAGAAUGGAACACUGGGCUUCAAUGAAGAACACACAUUUUUCUCCUGGAAUGAGGAAGCUGAAGAGGCUGGUGAGCUGCAUGAGGUCCCUGAGCCCAUCUUCCCCACAGAAGUUGCGGAGGAUCUCGCCAAACUUUGAGCAUCUUCCCACUGGGGUUGCACGCACCCCAGCUGACAGCCACACCACUCAGACUAUUAGAUUUAUAGACCUGGGGGAUAUCUUCAUUUUGCUUUUGCUCCAAAAACUUCACUAACUUGUGUGCUUUUUCUUCCUUUACGUUUAUUGUUUGGUGAAAGACGGAGAUAGUAUUUUGCCUGAAAUUAUACCUGUGAACCUGUCUUCCAGCCGUCACAUUUCUGUGGGGAUCCUGUUUGUACCUGUUCAUGCUCUGAUUCAUGGAAAAAUUCUUGCACAUGUUUGUGUAUGUCCAUUUGAGGGGGAGGGGUCAUGACCCAGUAGAACAGUCCAAUAUUUUGGCCACCAACUCCACACUCAGUUCAAACACCCCAUACUUUACUACUCAGAACAUCUCUAAAAACAAACAUCUUUUACACUAGGAGCUUUCUCUGCCAGGAAAAGGUAUACAUCUUCUCUUUUUAUCUUAAAUAUCCAUGCUAGAAAGCACACACACAGUUUUAUAGCCAACCUUGUGCAAAACUGAGUUUCACAUAUUGUUUUAAGAGCCAAACAGCUUCCUCUAACUUUCCUACCCUCAAAUCCCUUUUCUCUGAUUCCCACCUCUUUCUAAAUUUUAAUUUUUCAUCUAUCAUUUAUAUCUCUGGGGAAUCUCCUUAGAGCCUUUUUGGAAUGAGUAUAAAUGAGAAAAUAAAUGAGUAUAAAUUCAGUAAACACUGAGUUUAUUCAUUUGAUGAAU
This 2454-nucleotide unclassified non-coding RNA is filed under the name Bos taurus (domestic cattle). Its description in RNAcentral is "hypothetical protein LOC767880". Lineage: Eukaryota; Metazoa; Chordata; Mammalia; Artiodactyla; Bovidae. The record is from RNAcentral.